GUGGGCUACGGGGACAUGAAGCCCAUCACAGUGGGGGGCAAGAUUGUGGGGUCCCUGUGUGCCAUCGCAGGUGUCCUCACCAUCGCUUUGCCGGUACCCGUCAUUGUCUCUAAC
Regulatory RNA element from Cavia porcellus (domestic guinea pig), 114 nucleotides. It matches the Rfam family "Potassium channel RNA editing signal". From Rfam's summary of the family: This family represents a group of sequences related to the human potassium channel Kv1.1 hairpin element which directs the efficient modification of an adenosine to inosine by an adenosine deaminase acting on RNA (ADAR). The record is from Rfam. NCBI's taxonomy places the organism in Eukaryota, Metazoa, Chordata, Mammalia, Rodentia, Caviidae.